This is an RNA transcript of Gigantopelta aegis, 1660 nucleotides long. It is a transcript of the gene named armadillo repeat-containing protein 8-like, with no coding region annotated. Lineage: Eukaryota; Metazoa; Mollusca; Gastropoda; Neomphalida; Peltospiridae. The record is from RefSeq and is a predicted model, not a curated record. The transcript has 4 exons.
CAGGGUUAGCUCUGGGUGAGCAAAACAUUUCGCCAAAUUAUCUGUUAAACUUCACAAAUUGCAGAAAUCAACAGAUAUUUUCUUUAAAAUGUGAAUUAUUACAUGAAAUUAUUUCGCCAACUGUUUUAAAAAUUUGUAAUUGGCGAAUUUGGCGAGUGCCAGAGCUAGCCCUGUGAACUACAUUUUAACUAACAGUAACAGUGCACACAAAAGAUAAGGUAGCUUGUACAUUGUACAAACGUUUUAGUACCAGAUACCAAGGGCAAAAUAAGGGAUGGGUAUUUCCUCAAAGUCGACCAAUACACAAUGAUAUACGGUAACCAAACGUUUCUUCUUUUUCUUUUUGUUUUGCUUUUCAGUUUUUUUUGUUUGUUUGUUUGUUUUUUUAAUUUUAAUGGUGGGGUGGGUUGGGGCUGUGCAACCAUCCUCCUUUAAUUUUCACCCAGCAAGAUACUAUAUAGGUACAAUUUAAUGUCACCCUUGGAACACUUUUCAUGUCAUAUCAUCACCGAAAACUUGAGCGACUUCGUCUCAUAAACACCAGGUUCCAUUAAAUGUUAUCUUAUACUAGUAGUCCAUGAUUCCAUUUAUAAUAAAUUCUUGUUUAUUGAAGUUUAUUGACAUACAUUGAAGAAAUCCCAUGCCUCAACUGGGAUCCGAACCCAUUACCUACCAGCCUGUAGACCGAUGGCCUAACCACGACGUCACCGAGGCCGGUAGUAAUGCAAGAGAAUACACAAAUAAUACUUCACUAACAGUCGGACCUGUUAUCACACUUACAAAUAAUCCACCUGGUAAUUUAAAAUUAGCACUGAGUUAUCUCCCAUGUACAUAUAUUUCAGGUUGCUACAGUGGAUGAUCGAUGAAUUGUCUCCCAUUAAUUUGCAGAUCGAAUCGACUGUGGUGCUGGGAAGUUUGUCUAAAGGAACUGAUGAGAACAUUAACGCCAUUGUAGAUGCUGGAUGUGUAUCAGUCUUGUUGAAAGGUUUGUCCAACCCAAACUUGAAGUAUGUGGAAGUGUGUCUUAGAUGUCUGUGAACAAUUUUCAUGUGCAAUAAAACAGCUAUAGACCUAGUUUAUCAGCAUCUGUCAUUGCAGGAGACGGAAUGUAGCCCAGUGGUAAAGCGCUCACCUGAUGUGCGGUUGGUCUGGGAUCGAUCCCUAUCGGUGGGCCCAUUGGGUUAUUCCUCGUUCCAACCAGUGCACCAUGACUGUUUUAUCAAAAUGUUGUGACUCUUCCCACACUAGUCCGAAUGUGUAAAAAAGACCGCCCCCUGGAGGUGAAUGUUGAGGGAGCCGAGACUCUUGCCUAUCUUAUAAAAGUUGACCCGGACCUGCAACGAGCGGCGCCAUUUCCGAUCACAUCAUUAAGGCGCUGGCCGAGUAUCUCAAAUACACAGAUAUUGAGCAGAUUGGGUCGAGAACCAUGAAGGAAAAGUUAAUAAUAAGAUGAUGUAUCUUGUUAAAGUACUCGGACAUCAUGUAGAUCAUCAGAGCAGAAUGUAGCCCUGUGGGAAAGUGUUUACCUCAUAUGCAGUCGGUCUACAAUUGACUCCUGUCGGGCCUUGACCUUAACUUUUUUCAUUACUAGCCCAGCGGGCUACUAGGUUAUAAAAUCUGGUAGGUUAAUAACAUUGGUAGCCCCAUAAUUUUAAUAAAU